CCUACGGGAGGCAGCAGUGGGGAAUCUUGCGCAAUGGGCGAAAGCCUGACGCAGCAACGCCGCGUGCGGGAAGAAGGCUUUCGGGCUGUAAACCGCUUUCAGCAGGAACGAAAAUGACGGUACCUGCAGAAGAAGGAGCGGCCAACUAUGUGCCAGCAGCCGCGGUGAUACAUAGGCUUCAAGCGUUGUCCGGAUUUAUUGGGCGUAAAGAGUUUGUAGGCGGUCGAGUAAGUCGGGUGUGAAAAUUCUGGGCUCAACCCAGAGACGCCACCCGAUACUGCUUAACUUGAGUUCGAUAGGGGAGUGGGGAAUUCCUAGUGUAGCGGUGAAAUGCGCAGAUAUUAGGAGGAACACCGGUGGCGAAGGCGCCACUCUGGAUCGAUACUGACGCUGAGGAACGAAAGCAUGGGUAGCAAACAGGAUUAGAUACCCUGGUAGUCCAUGCCGUAAACGGUGGGCACUAGGUGUGGGAUUCUAUUAACGAAUUCCGCGCCGUCGCUAACGCAUUAAGUGCCCCGCCUGGGGAGUACGGUCGCAAGACUAAAACUCAAAGGAUUGACGGCUUGAGAGUUGCGAGCGACGACGAGGGAGAGG
RNAcentral lists this ribosomal RNA (594 nucleotides) under uncultured bacterium. RNAcentral describes it as "bacterial SSU rRNA". It matches the Rfam family "Bacterial small subunit ribosomal RNA", at positions 338 to 946 of the family's 1533-position model. The record is from RNAcentral.